UUUUAGCCCCGAUAGCAGUGGAAAUCCUUUUUGUACGCCUUUUCGGCGGAUAAAAAGAUUGCAACGAAUAGCGGGAAAUGGC
This 82-nucleotide small RNA is filed under the name Flavobacterium urumqiense. RNAcentral's name for it is "Flavo-1 RNA". It matches the Rfam family "Flavo-1 RNA". The record is from RNAcentral. Lineage: Bacteria; Pseudomonadati; Bacteroidota; Flavobacteriia; Flavobacteriales; Flavobacteriaceae.